GAGCUGCUAGCCCAGUGGUGAUAGCACUGGUGGAGUACCAGGGGUACUUGGGUUCGAAUCCAAGCCAGCCCC
Molecule: transfer RNA, 72 nt
Filed under: Hordeum vulgare
Lineage: Eukaryota; Viridiplantae; Streptophyta; Magnoliopsida; Poales; Poaceae
Description: tRNA-Leu
Source: RNAcentral